RNAcentral lists this ribosomal RNA (253 nucleotides) under uncultured bacterium. RNAcentral's name for it is "partial 16S ribosomal RNA". It matches the Rfam family "Bacterial small subunit ribosomal RNA", at positions 524 to 776 of the family's 1533-position model. The record is from RNAcentral.
UACGUAGGUGGCAAGCGUUGUCCGGAUUUAUUGGGUUUAAAGGGUGCGUAGGCGGUCCUAUAAGUCAGUGGUGAAAGCUCCGGGCUUAACUUGGAAACUGCCAUUGAUACUGUAUAUCUUGAAUGUCGUUGAGGUUAGCGGAAUGUUGCAUGUAGCGGUGAAAUGCUUAGAUAUGUUACAGAACACCAAUUGUGAAGACAGCUAACUAAGCGAUGAUUGACGCUGAGGCACGAAAGCGUGGGGAGCAAACAGG